This 777-nucleotide ribosomal RNA is filed under the name uncultured bacterium. RNAcentral's name for it is "bacterial SSU rRNA". It matches the Rfam family "Bacterial small subunit ribosomal RNA", at positions 152 to 917 of the family's 1533-position model. The record is from RNAcentral.
GGAAACGAUAGCUAAUACCGCAUAACAGUAGAUAUUGCAUGAUAUCUGCUUGAAAGGUGCAAAUGCAUCACUACCAGAUGGACCUGCGUUGUAUUAGCUAGUUGGUGAGGUAACGGCUCACCAAGGCGACGAUACAUAGCCGACCUGAGAGGGUGAUCGGCCACACUGGGACUGAGACACGGCCCAGACUCCUACGGGAGGCAGCAGUAGGGAAUCUUCGGCAAUGGGGGGAACCCUGACCGAGCAACGCCGCGUGAGUGAAGAAGGUUUUCGGAUCGUAAAGCUCUGUUGUUAAGGAAGAACGAGUGUGAGAAUGGAAAGUUCAUACUGUGACGGUACUUAACCAGAAAGGGACGGCUAACUACGUGCCAGCAGCCGCGGUAAUACGUAGGUCCCGAGCGUUGUCCGGAUUUAUUGGGCGUAAAGCGAGCGCAGGCGGUUAGAUAAGUCUGAAGUUAAAGGCAGUGGCUCAACCAUUGUAGGCUUUGGAAACUGUUUAACUUGAGUGCAGAAGGGGAGAGUGGAAUUCCAUGUGUAGCGGUGAAAUGCGUAGAUAUAUGGAGGAACACCGGUGGCGAAAGCGGCUCUCUGGUCUGUAACUGACGCUGAGGCUCGAAAGCGUGGGGAGCGAACAGGAUUAGAUACCCUGGUAGUCCACGCCGUAAACGAUGAGUGCUAGGUGUUAGGUCCUUUCCGGGACUUAGUGCCGCAGCUAACGCAUUAAGCACUCCGCCUGGGGAGUACGACCGCAAGGUGAAACUCAAAGGAAUUGACGGA